UUUCGCUUCUUCCUGCUGANNGAGGUUUACAACCNGAAGGCCGUCAUCCCUCACCCGGCGUCGCUGCAUCAGGCUUUCGCCCAUUGUGCAAUAUUCCCCACUGCUGCCUCCCGUAGGAGUCUGGGCCGUGUCUCAGUCCCAGUGUGGCCGGUCGCCCUCUCAGGCCGGCUACCCGUCGUCGCCUUGGUGAGCCACUACCUCACCAACAAGCUGAUAGGCCGCGGGCUCAUCCUUCACCGCCGGAGCUUUUAACCCCCACCCAUGCAGGCAGGAGUGUUAUCCGGUAUUAGACCCCGUUUCCAGGGCUUGUCCCAGAGUGAAGGGCAGAUUGCCCACGUGUUACUCACCCGUUCGCCACUAAUCCACCCCGAAGGGCUUCAUCGUUCGACUUGCAUGUGUUAAGCACGCCGCCAGCGUUCGUCCUGAGCCAGGAUCAAACU
RNAcentral lists this ribosomal RNA (440 nucleotides) under Streptomyces sp. 8LB6. RNAcentral's name for it is "partial 16S ribosomal RNA". Lineage: Bacteria; Bacillati; Actinomycetota; Actinomycetes; Kitasatosporales; Streptomycetaceae. The record is from RNAcentral.